RNAcentral lists this long non-coding RNA (845 nucleotides) under Homo sapiens (human). RNAcentral's name for it is "HSALNT0277083". The record is from RNAcentral. Lineage: Eukaryota; Metazoa; Chordata; Mammalia; Primates; Hominidae.
CGCCCAUCUGUUCCGACCCCAGAUUAGAGAAGGAGUUGUCACCGGUGGCAUGCUGGAGGCUUGAGCCUGCAGCAGCAUGGCUCGCCUCACUGUGGCUGGUGGCAGUGAGGUAGAGUACAGCACAGCCAAAGUGGUAGAAAGGUGGCAGAGUAGGUGAGCUAUCCAGGGACUUGUGGCGGGGGGAGAGGGGCAGUGAGCUCAGGGGCCAAGGAUUGGAUGCACUAUCGUGAACUACACUGCCCAAGGCUUUUCUGGCUUUGCCCAUCCAGUUGCUCCGUGCCAGGAGAAGGAGUAGCCACCUGCACAUGCUGGAGGCUGGAGCCAGGGACACCACGGCUUGCCUCGCUGUGGUUGGCGUGGUGGCAGCGAUGGAGACUGCAGAGUGCCAGAGAGGUAGGAGGGCGGCUGGCUGCUGCCAGGGCCAGGGCAGUGCUGCAGCGGUGGCCAGGUGGUGGGAGCCCUGUAGGGUGGGCCGGUUCAUUGAGGGCGGCAGCAGUGGUGGUUGUAUUGGCAUCGGUGCUAGUGGUGGCAGCAGUAGCAAGUCUGGGGCCUGGGAAGGCGAGUAGGAGCACUGCAGGGCCAGCCUGGGCUGGGUAGGAAGCUGCGGGUGCUGUACUGUGGACCUCUGUGGCAGCAGUAGACGUGCAGCCAGGGCAAGGAGGAGUCUUCUCUGAGGGCACCCUCCUCCUUCUGGGGCCUGAGCCAGGCGUGAGUGGCACCAUUGUGUCAUUAUUAAAGUUUGAGGGGUGACUAUUUGUGUAUCUUUUUGCUUGUUUUCUGUUGGGAUAGUCUUGGACUUUUUCAAAUUUCAUGAAUCAGGGAGGGGACAACAGGUAGAAUAGGCC